Non-coding RNA from Phoenix dactylifera (date palm), 662 nucleotides. The record is from RefSeq and is a predicted model, not a curated record. NCBI's taxonomy places the organism in Eukaryota, Viridiplantae, Streptophyta, Magnoliopsida, Arecales, Arecaceae.
AAGAACCGUUCACGCGACCUGGAGAUAAAUUUCGUCUUCUUGGGUGUAACCGACGGUUUUUUCAUCACAAGAAAUGUUUCUUUUAGCACAGAUUCCGGUGGGAAGGGCGGAGAGGACGGAGUCGUAGGAGUCGGUGGCCGGGGAGAGGGCGGAAUCGAGGUCCAAAGGAGUUUCCGGUGGAGGCGGAGAGGGAACAAAGAAAAGUGGGGAAGGAGGGAGUACUGAAAGCUAAGCUUACUCUGGAGCAUGAUAGCCGAAAGUUCCUAGAACUCGAGUCGAAUGUAGACGAGCUGCUGUGUCAGGAGACUGGUUGGUGAGAUUGAAGUCAGCAAUUUUGGAUUCAUAAUCGUCGAAAAGAAGAACAUUGCUGGAUCUGACAUCCCGAUGAACAAUUGAUGGAUGGACUUUUUCGUGAAGAUACUCAAGACCUCUUGCUGCACCAUAGGCAAUCUUCACUCUUUGAUUCCAGCUCAGGACAGGUCCAGGUUCAGCACCUUGCACUCCUUUCCUCCCUGUGCCAGAAAAUUUUCCCUAAUGUUAACCUUGAUCGAUAAAAUCGCGCAACCUGUUGAUAGGAUAUAAAUCCACUACCAUGUAAAACGUCAUGUAAAGACCCAUUGGUUGCAAACUGAUAUACUAAUAUCCGAUUGUUUGCGUCUAAA